This is an RNA transcript of Camellia sinensis, 1354 nucleotides long. It is a transcript of the gene named protein ORANGE-GREEN, chloroplastic, with no coding region annotated. The record is from RefSeq and is a predicted model, not a curated record. Lineage: Eukaryota; Viridiplantae; Streptophyta; Magnoliopsida; Ericales; Theaceae.
GGCCAAUAGAAUCCAAACGCGUAUCGACCUCUCUUACGCAUCAGAGAGACCUCACCGACAAAAGAUACACUCCGCCAUUCUACUCCAUUAGAAGACACAGAGAGAGCUAUGCGUUUUUAGAGAGAGAGAGAGUGAGAGAGAAGGGGCGGUUAGAGAUGGUUUGUUCAGGUAGAAUUCUGGCGGUUUCUUGCCCUAUAUCGACUUUGAUUCCCCACAAUUCAGUGUUCCAAAACUCAAGAUUCCUCCUUCAAGUGCUCAAAUCCACCCACAAAUGGCGACCCAUGGCCUCCGAACCUGAGGCUUCUUCAUUUGCUCCUUCAAUUGAUUCUGAUUCUACCGAUAUAAACGCCCCUGGGUUUUGUAUUAUUGAAGGACCUGAAACAGUGAGGGAUUUUGCCAAAAUGGAACUGCAAGAAAUUCUAGAUAAUGUACGAAGCCGGAGAAACAAAAUAUUUUUGCAUAUGGAGGAGGUUCGCCGGCUGCGGAUACAGCAGAGGAUAAAAAGUGCUGAACUUGGAAUUCUAAAGGAAGAACAAGAAAAUGAACUUCCAGAUUUUCCCUCAUUCAUUCCAUUCUUGCCUCCAUUGAGCUCAGCAAAUCUUAAGCUGUACUAUGCUAGCUGUUUCUCUCUUAUUGCCGGGAUUAUCCUUUUUGGUGGACUUCUAGCACCAAUUUUGGAGCUGAAAUUGGGACUAGGAGGCACGUCAUAUGAAGAUUUUAUUCGUAGUCUGCAUCUGCCAAUGCAGUUGAGUGAGGUUGAUCCUAUUGUCGCAUCAUUCUCUGGGGGAGCUGUUGGAGUGAUCUCGGCCUUGAUGGUCGUUGAAAUAAAUAAUGUAAAACAGCAAGAGGAUAAAAGAUGCAAGUAUUGUCUUGGAACCGGAAACAGAAACGCUUCUGUCGUUUCGAUGGAAAAGAAAUGGAAUUUUGUUCCUAGGUUGGAAUGGAUAUCUUGCUUGUGCUCGUUGUUCAAGCUCAGGAGCACUUGUCCUUAUUGAACCGGAGUCAACAGUUAAUGCUAGAGAUCAGCCCUUAUCACCACCUAAAACUGAACGAUGUUCAAACUGUUCCGGUGCUGGAAAGGUCAUGUGCCCUACGUGCCUCUGUACAGGGAUGGCAAUGGCAAGCGAGCACGAUCCACGGAUUGAUCCCUUUGAUUAGAAAAACAUAUCAUUUCCUACUUCUACUUGUACUAUUUGAGAUGUAUAGUUGUUUUGCAUUGGAUACAUAUGUGUACAUAUUUUUAGCAUAUUCUGUGUAUACAAAUUGUUUGACAAGCAAUACCCCUUUUUACAAAUGUAAAACACACAUUAUUAUUUGUCUUGAUCAAAGAAUUUUCAUUGUAAAAUUCCUCUUA